Non-coding RNA from Petromyzon marinus (sea lamprey), 111 nucleotides. NCBI's taxonomy places the organism in Eukaryota, Metazoa, Chordata, Hyperoartia, Petromyzontiformes, Petromyzontidae. The record is from RefSeq and is a predicted model, not a curated record.
GUGUAUCACCUUGUAGCAGGCCCAGUGUGCUAGUACCACCAGGUAUGUGAGUAUCACCAGGUAUGUGUGAGUAUCACCAGGUAUGUGAGUAUCACCUUGUAGCAGGCCCAG